Molecule: ribosomal RNA, 560 nt
Filed under: uncultured bacterium
Lineage: Bacteria
Description: bacterial SSU rRNA
Rfam family: Bacterial small subunit ribosomal RNA
Source: RNAcentral
ACGGGUGAGUAACACGUGACUAACCUACCCUGGAGUUCGGAAUAACCUCGGGAAACCGGGGCUAAUACCGAAUGACACCGAGAGGUCAAAGGAGCAAUUCGCUCUGGGAGGGGGUCGCGGCUGAUUAGCUAGUUGGCAGGGUAAUGGCCUACCAAGGCGACGAUCAGUAUCCGGCCUGAGAGGGCGCACGGACACACUGGAACUGAAACACGGUCCAGACUCCUACGGGAGGCAGCAGUGGGGAAUUUUGCACAAUGGGGGAAACCCUGAUGCAGCAACGCCGCGUGGAGGAUGAAGGUCUUUGGAUUGUAAACUCCUUUCGAUCGGGACGAUUAUGACGGUACCGGAAGAAGAAGCACCGGCUAACUCUGUGCCAGCAGCCGCGGUAAUACAAAGGGUGCAAGCGUUGUUCGGAAUUAUUGGGCGUAAAGGGCGCGUAGGCGGUGCGGUAAGUCUGUGGUGAAAUCCCCUGGCUCAACUGGGAGGCUGCCAUGGAAACUGCCGUGCUUGAGUGUGGGAGAGGUGAGUGGAAUUCCCGGUGUAGCGGUGAAAUGCGUAGA